AUGGCUUUGGAAGAAAGCGCUAUUACAAGUGGCAUGAUAAAACUUGAUUCUUCCCAUUACUCAUUAUGGAAGCCCGUGAUGGAAGACAUCCUUUAUUGCAAGGAUUUGUAUGAGCCAAUUGUGAAAGACAAGAUACCCACAGGUGUCACGGAAGAAGAAUGGAGAGUGUUGCACAGAAAGGCAGUAGGUAUGAUUCGGUUGUACAUGAACCACAAUAUUUUCCACCAUGUUGCAAAUGACACAAAUGCAUAUGAGAUGUGGCAGAAGUUGGAGUCUAUGUAUGAGAGGAAGACAUCAAUGAACAAGGCCUCGGUGAUCAAAAGACUUGCAAAGCUUGAGUACCGAGAUGGCACAAGUGUGAUUGAGCACUUAAAUGUCUUUCAAUGCCAUAUAAAUCAACUUUCAUCCAUGAAGAUCAACUUUGAGGAUGAGGUGCAAGCAUUGUUGCUUCUGAGUUCCAUGCCUGAUAGUUGGAACACACUUGUUGUGUCACUUAGCAACUCAGCUCCGGAUGGGAAGCUGACUUUGAAGAUGGUGAAGAACAGUAUGCUGAAUGAAGAAGCCAGAAAGAAGGAAAAGGGUGAUGCCUCUUUUUCUGAUGCGUAUGUGGCUGAAACCCAUGGGAAGAAUGAGAACCGUGGACGCAGCAAUACAAGAUUUCAACAAGGCAAAAGCGAAUCCAGGGGGAGAUCAAAGUCAAAACAGAGAAAAGAUAUUACUUGCUUUCAUUGUGGCAAUCCGGGACACAUAAAGAGCGAGUGCAGGAAGUACAAAAGAGAGCUUGCAGAGGGGAAACUCACAAGAAAACCGAGCAAAAGGCUGAGAGCAGUUCAACCAUGA
RNAcentral lists this ribosomal RNA (840 nucleotides) under Triticum aestivum (bread wheat). Its description in RNAcentral is "partial small subunit ribosomal RNA". The record is from RNAcentral. Lineage: Eukaryota; Viridiplantae; Streptophyta; Magnoliopsida; Poales; Poaceae.